This 74-nucleotide transfer RNA is filed under the name Olea europaea subsp. europaea. The record is from RNAcentral. Lineage: Eukaryota; Viridiplantae; Streptophyta; Magnoliopsida; Lamiales; Oleaceae.
AGUUUCAAACUUGUGACCUCUUGUUAGAGGUAUUAUAAAGUUGACCACUGUGGCAUCCAUUGAAUAUUGCCAAU